This 429-nucleotide ribosomal RNA is filed under the name Verrucomicrobiota bacterium. RNAcentral's name for it is "Verrucomicrobia bacterium partial 16S ribosomal RNA". It matches the Rfam family "Bacterial small subunit ribosomal RNA", at positions 355 to 776 of the family's 1533-position model. Lineage: Bacteria; Pseudomonadati; Verrucomicrobiota. The record is from RNAcentral.
UGGGGAAUCUUCCGCAAUGGGCGAAAGCCUGACGGAGCAACGCCGCGUGAGUGAAGACGGCCUUCGGGUUGUAAAACUCUGUGAUUCGGGACGAAAGAUAAGCAGACGAAUAAUCUGCAUAAGUGACGGUACCGAAAAAGCAAGCCACGGCUAACUACGUGCCAGCAGCCGCGGUAAUACGUAGGUGGCAAGCGUUGUCCGGAAUUAUUGGGCGUAAAGCGAGCGCAGGCGGCUACUUAAGUCCAUCUUAAAAGUGCGGGGCUUAACCCCGUGAUGGGAUGGAAACUGAGAAGCUGGAGUGUCGGAGAGGAAAGUGGAAUUCCUAGUGUAGCGGUGAAAUGCGUAGAGAUUAGGAAGAACACCGGUGGCGAAGGCGACUUUCUGGACGACAACUGACGCUUAGGCGCGAAAGCGUGGGGAGCAAACAGG